AAUAAUAAAAAACAUUUAAUAAUCUUGUCCGAGCAUUAUCAUACCUUUUAAUUAAUGAAUUAACCCAUAUUUCCUAAAAGAAAGUUACUCAAUUAAUUAGAGCAUUAAGAUAGUAUUAUUUCACAAAACCUCAUGGAUCCAAGUUUAGUUUCGACUCUUAAUUGAAAUCUAUGAUAGUUGUUAUUAACUCCAACUCAUAAUCAUGUUUUCCAAUCAUAGAUUAUAAAUCUAGCAUCAUUCAAGUACUUGGCCAAGGUACUCAAAAUUAUUAAACUCAAAAGUAACAACUAUUAGCAAAGUAGAGAAAAUUAGAUCAAAAUCUAGAGAUAAAAUCAAGUCAAACUGCAUCAAUUUCCUCGCUAAAAUAUCUAGCCACUCAUAAUGUCGAAAGUCUCAAUAAAACUCAACAAAUCAAAAAUCAAUAUUAUUCAAUGAAAAUGGAUUUUCCCCAAAGAAAAUAAAUUAAAAGGGAAGAAAAUAAAACUCUAUAAGAUGGAGAUUGGUGUCUUCCUCCCUCAAACUUCUAAAAUCCCUCUUUCAAGAUCCUUGCUCUAGUAGAAAUUGGUGAAUUUUGGAGUGUUUGGUAAUGUUUUUUCCUCUUCAUUUGGUGACGUGUUACAGGCUUAUUGGGGUGAGAAAAUACUCUCAGAGAGCAUCUCAUGGCCAGCCAUGUUUGUAGAGUGAUUCCCAUAGGUGGCCAUGCGCGUUUCUUCAAUUCUACAUGUAGCCAUGCUUGUUCCUUCAGUCUCACAGGCAACUGUGAGAAUCUUAUAGCU
RNAcentral lists this unclassified non-coding RNA (776 nucleotides) under Hevea brasiliensis (rubber tree). The record is from RNAcentral. Lineage: Eukaryota; Viridiplantae; Streptophyta; Magnoliopsida; Malpighiales; Euphorbiaceae.